Molecule: long non-coding RNA, 1533 nt
Organism: Zeugodacus cucurbitae (melon fly)
Lineage: Eukaryota; Metazoa; Arthropoda; Insecta; Diptera; Tephritidae
Exons: 5
Source: RefSeq, a predicted model, not a curated record
AAUGCACUGCUAUUUUUAGUAUAAACAUAUAUCAAAUUGUAAUUAAUAAACGUGGGAAGGUCUAUGUGUAAAUAUAGGUUAAUACAGUUGAGAGUAUAGACUACUCUCUUGUGAGUGAAAGGCUGUUGUGGGAUUAAUAUAUAUCACCGGAGCGAUUAUAUUAGUAUUUUUAUACCCUGAACAAGGUAUUAAGUUUGUCACGAAGUUUGUAACACCCAGAAGGAAGCGUCGGAGGCCCUAUAAAGUAUAUAUAUAAAUGAUCAGUAGGUUGAACUGAGUCGAUUUAGCCAUGCCCGUCUCUCUGUCUGUCUGUCUGUAUAUAUACGAACUAGUCGUUCAGUUUUUAAGAUAUCGUUUUGAAAUUUUGCAGAUGUUAUUUUCUCUUCAAGAAGCUGUUCAUUUGUCGGAACUGCCGAUAUCGGACCACUAUAUCAUAUAGCUGCCAUACAAACUGAACGAUCGGAAUCAAGGGCUUGUAUGGAAAACUUCCGCAUUUUACUACAUAUCUUCACGAAAUUUGGUGUGAGUUAUUGCUCAUAGAAAUAAUUUAAUCUCCGAAAAAAUUGUUCAGAUCGCAUACCUUCCAGUGACAAGCAACCAUCUUCGAAAAUAAAUGAUAUUACACAACACAGUAGUAAUACCUUUGUGAUAUGACAUAUGCAGAAAUUAUCCAACAUAUCGAGAAAGGAUAUAUCUUUCAAAAAUGAUUGCUUGCUUGCUUUCAGCGCUAAACACAACACUUACACAAGGGAAUCAAUGUGAUUGUACUGUAUUAGAAAUCAGCUUCUGUGUAUGGGCGAAAACAGCAUGCAAAUUUGUGCGUGGCAGAUCAUAAUUUUCUCGGAUGAAUACAAGUUCGAUAUCUUUGGAUCGAACGGUGUCCACAAAUUAUGGAGAAGAUCGGGCGAACAGUUCAGUGAAGAAUGCCUACAAAUAACUGUGCCCCACCAGUAACCAGGAUGGUCUGGUGCUGUUUUUCUUAUGAUGGAAUAAAAGGAAUUCAUUUAAUUGAGGGAAGAGUCAACGGUGAGGCAUAUAAAAAAACCUGGAAGCCAAUUUGAUACCCUGCAACGAAGUACUGUACCAAAAGGACGUCAUCUUUCAGUGCGAUUCCGAGCCAUGUCAUAGGUCCAACAUUGUACACGAUUUUAUGUCUGAAAUGGGAAUAAACCAGUUAACGUGGCCUGGGAAAAACCCCGAUUUAAACCCGAUCAAAAACCUGUGGACGAUUAUGAAGAAACCGAUGACCGCCCAGAAGCCGAAGAAAAAAAUGCAUUUCAUGCUUUUGAAGAUGUGGUUUGAUAAUAUUUUGGUCGGAUUACUCCAAAAGCUUAUUUCGUCCAUACCAGCAAGGAAUAGGGUGGUAAUUAAGGCAAAAGGAGUCAAAUUAUGAAGUUUUUACUUCACAAUCACUUUGAUAUUACUUUUGUAUGAAUUUCGUGAUCAAUAUUGCUGAAUAUGUAUUCCUAAUUCCUGAAAAAUUUAACAUUAAUAUUUGCUAAUAAUUUAUUUUAUCUCAUAUUACAAAUUCAA